GUUGAACGCUAGCUACAGGCUUAACACAUGCAAGUCGAGGGACCGGCGCACGGGUGAGUAACACGUAUCCAACCUGCCCUUUACUCGGGGAUAGCCUUUCGAAAGAAAGAUUAAUACCCGAUGUAAAGGAUGGGGAUGCGUUCCAUUAGGUUGUUGGUGAGGUACCGGCUCACCAAGCCUUCGAUGGAUAGGGGUUCUGAGAGGAAGGGCCUCCACAUUGGAACUGGGACACGGUCCAAACGCGUACGGGAGGCAGCAGUGAUGAAUAUUGGGCAAUGGGCGUUAGCCUGAAACAGCCAAGUAGCGUGAAGGAUGAAGGCUUAUGGGGCGUAAACUUCUUUUAUAUAAGAAUAUGUAUUAUAUGAAUAAGGAUCGGCUAACUCCGUGCCAGCAGCCGCGGUAAUUC
This 406-nucleotide ribosomal RNA is filed under the name uncultured bacterium. Its description in RNAcentral is "partial 16S ribosomal RNA". It matches the Rfam family "Bacterial small subunit ribosomal RNA", at positions 28 to 526 of the family's 1533-position model. The record is from RNAcentral.